Molecule: ribosomal RNA, 462 nt
Filed under: uncultured bacterium
Lineage: Bacteria
Description: partial 16S ribosomal RNA
Rfam family: Bacterial small subunit ribosomal RNA
Source: RNAcentral
ACGAACGCUGGCGGCGUGCUUAACACAUGCAAGUCGAACGGAAAGGCCUUUUCGGAGGUACUCGAGUGGCGAACGGGUGAGUAACACGUGGGUGAUCUGCCCUGCACUCUGGGAUAAGCCUGGGAAACUGGGUCUAAUACCGGAUAGGACCGCACUUUAGUGUGUGCGGUGGAAAGUUUUUUCGGUGUAGGAUGAGCCCGCGGCCUAUCAGCUUGUUGGUGGGGUAAUGGCCUACCAAGGCGGCGACGGGUAGCCGGACUGAGAGGUUGGUCGGCCACAUUGGGACUGAGAUACGGCCCAGACUCCUACGGGAGGCAGCAGUGGGGAAUAUUGCACAAUGGGCGCAAGCCUGAUGCAGCGACGCCGCGUGGGGGAUGACGGCCUUCGGGUUGUAAACUCCUUUCGCCAGGGACGAAGCGUUUUGUGACGGUACCUGGAGAAGAAGCACCGGCUAACUACGUG